AUUGAACGCUGGCGGCAGGCCUAACACAUGCAAGUCGAACGGUAACAGGAAACAGCUUGCUGUUUCGCUGACGAGUGGCGGACGGGUGAGUAAUGUCUGGGAAACUGCCUGCUGGAGGGGGAUAACUACUGGAAACGGUAGCUAAUACCGCAUAACGUCGCAAGACCAAAGAGGGGGACCUUCGUGCCUCUUGCCAUCGGAUGUGCCCAGAUGGAAUUAGCUAGUAGGUGGGGUAACGGCCAACCUAGGCGACGACCCCUAGCUGGUCUGAGAGGAUGACAAGCCACACUGGAACUGAGACACGGUCCAGACUCCUACGGGAGGCAGCAGUGGGGAAUAUUGCACAAUGGGCGCAAGCCUGAUGCAGCCAUACCGCGUGUAUGAAGAAGGCCUUCGGGUUGUAAAGUACUUUCAGCGGGGAGGAAGGGAGUAAAGUUAAUACCUUUGCUCAUUGACGUUACCCGCAGAAGAAGCACCGGCUAACUCCGUGCCAGCCGCCGCCGUAA
RNAcentral lists this ribosomal RNA (506 nucleotides) under uncultured bacterium. RNAcentral's name for it is "partial 16S ribosomal RNA". It matches the Rfam family "Bacterial small subunit ribosomal RNA", at positions 30 to 523 of the family's 1533-position model. The record is from RNAcentral.